Molecule: non-coding RNA, 344 nt
Organism: Paramuricea clavata
Lineage: Eukaryota; Metazoa; Cnidaria; Anthozoa; Malacalcyonacea; Plexauridae
Source: the annotation of a GenBank genome assembly
GUCUGUGAUGUCCCCGAGCCAUGUAUUUUCGUCGUAAAUUUCGGACUAAUUUCUUUAUCUUUUUCCAAUGCCAAAGUCACAUAAUCAAAUGAAUAUUGGCCAUUCAACAUUCGACUUGUCCUUGACAUUUGCCAGUUCUAUAAACAGUCGCAGACAUACAAUGUCAAAAAUAAUUAAUGUUAAGGAUAAGUUUAGUCCAUAUAAAACAACCCACAAGGUCGAAAAAGGAGACUAUAGCCAUGCAGUCCCAAAAACCAUUAUUUCACACAAUUUCGCUAAUAAAUUGAAUGAAUUUUACUUGGGUUAGAUUCGUAUGUCCUUGCCAACGAAAAGUAAACAGUCUG